RNAcentral lists this ribosomal RNA (448 nucleotides) under uncultured bacterium. RNAcentral describes it as "bacterial SSU rRNA". It matches the Rfam family "Bacterial small subunit ribosomal RNA", at positions 29 to 521 of the family's 1533-position model. The record is from RNAcentral.
AACGAACGCUGGCGGCAGGCCUAACACAUGCAAGUCGAACGCCCGUAGCAAUACGGGAGUGGCAGACGGGUGAGUAACGCGUGGGAACGUGCCCUUCGGUUCGGAAUAACUCAGGGAAACUUGAGCUAAUACCGGAUACGUCCGUAAGGAGAAAGAUUUAUCGCCGAAGGAUCGGCCCGCGUCGGAUUAGCUAGUUGGUGAGGUAACGGCCCACCAAGGCGACGAUCCGUAGCUGGUCUGAGAGGANGAUCAGCCACACUGGGACUGAGACACGGCCCAGACUCCUACGGGAGGCAGCAGUGGGGAAUAUUGGACAAUGGGCGAAAGCCUGAUCCAGCCAUGCCGCGUGAGUGAAGAAGGCCUUAGGGUUGUAAAGCUCUUUCAGCGGGAAGAUAAUGACGGUACCCGCAGAAGAAGCCCCGGCUAACUUCGUGCCAGCCGCCGCGGU